Molecule: transfer RNA, 71 nt
Filed under: Marmota monax (woodchuck)
Lineage: Eukaryota; Metazoa; Chordata; Mammalia; Rodentia; Sciuridae
Rfam family: tRNA
About the family: Transfer RNA (tRNA) molecules are approximately 80 nucleotides in length. Their secondary structure includes four short double-helical elements and three loops (D, anti-codon, and T loops). Further hydrogen bonds mediate the characteristic L-shaped molecular structure. tRNAs have two regions of fundamental functional importance: the anti-codon, which is responsible for specific mRNA codon recognition, and the 3' end, to which the tRNAs corresponding amino acid is attached (by aminoacyl-tRNA synthetases). tRNAs cope with the degeneracy of the genetic code in two manners: having more than one tRNA (with a specific anti-codon) for a particular amino acid; and 'wobble' base-pairing, i.e. permitting non-standard base-pairing at the 3rd anti-codon position.
Source: Rfam by way of RNAcentral
GUGGUUGUAGUUCAGUGGUAGAGCAUUUGCUUAGCAUGUAUGAGGCACUGGGUUCAAUUCUCAGCACCACA